RNAcentral lists this ribosomal RNA (468 nucleotides) under uncultured bacterium. Its description in RNAcentral is "partial 16S ribosomal RNA". It matches the Rfam family "Bacterial small subunit ribosomal RNA", at positions 28 to 507 of the family's 1533-position model. The record is from RNAcentral.
GACGAACGCUGGCGGCGUGCUUAACACAUGCAAGUCGAACGGAAAGGCCCUGCUUUUGUGGGGUGCUCGAGUGGCGAACGGGUGAGUAACACGUGAGUAACCUGCACUUGACUUUGGGAUAACUUCAGGAAACUGGGGCUAAUACCGGAUAGGAGCUCCUGCUGCAUGGUGGUGGUUGGAGAGUUUCGGCGGUUGGGGAUGGACUCGCGGCUUAUCAGCUUGUUGGUGGGGUAGUGGCUUACCAAGGCUUUGACGGGUAGCCGGCCUGAGAGGGUGACCGGCGACAUUGGGACUGAGAGACGGACCAGACUCCUACGGGAGGCAGAGGGGGGGAAUAUUGCACAAUGGGCGGAAGCCUGAUGCAGCAACGCCGCGUGCGUGAAGACGGCCUUCGGGUUGUAAACAGCUUUGGCCUGUGACGAAGCGUGAGUGACGGUAAUGGGUAAAGAAGCACCGGCUAACUACGUG